AGGUUUCCUUGUAUUAUGAUGAGUUUGAACUACAAACUUUACUCUACAGAGCUCCUGAGGUGAUGUUUGGUGUUCCCUUUGGCCCUGAGAUUGACAUUUGGUCUUUGGGAUGCAUUGUAGCUGAGUUGUAUAUAGGCAAACCUUUAUUUCUGGGAGGAAAUAGGACUAAA
Molecule: non-coding RNA, 170 nt
Organism: Pocillopora verrucosa
Lineage: Eukaryota; Metazoa; Cnidaria; Anthozoa; Scleractinia; Pocilloporidae
Source: RefSeq, a predicted model, not a curated record